AUGCAGAGCUAAUUAUAAUAUAGUUGUGAAAUGCUGUGUCAUUUCUGCUGUUCAAUUAAAAUUUGUUGUUUGUAACUAAACCUAUCUGUUUUAUUAUACGUCACAGCAGCCAGGUAUCCUUGAUGUCACAUAU
RNAcentral lists this small nucleolar RNA (133 nucleotides) under Notamacropus eugenii (tammar wallaby). Its description in RNAcentral is "Small nucleolar RNA SNORA63 (ENSMEUG00000018234.1)". The record is from RNAcentral. Lineage: Eukaryota; Metazoa; Chordata; Mammalia; Diprotodontia; Macropodidae.